RNAcentral lists this ribosomal RNA (235 nucleotides) under uncultured bacterium. RNAcentral's name for it is "partial 16S ribosomal RNA". It matches the Rfam family "Bacterial small subunit ribosomal RNA", at positions 15 to 250 of the family's 1533-position model. The record is from RNAcentral.
GAUCCUGGCUCAGAUUGAACGCUGGCGGCAUGCCUUACACAUGCAAGUCGAACGGCAGCGGGGGAGCUUGCUCCUGUCCGGCGAGUGGCGAACGGGUGAGUAAUGCAAUCGGAACGUGUCCUGUCGUGGGGGGAUAACUGGCCGAAAGGUCAGCUAAUACCGCAUGAGACCCGAGGGUGAAAGCGGGGGAUCGCAAGACCUCGCGCGACUGGAGCGGCCGAUGUCUGAGUUAGCG